Long non-coding RNA from Coturnix japonica (Japanese quail), 2591 nucleotides. Lineage: Eukaryota; Metazoa; Chordata; Aves; Galliformes; Phasianidae. The record is from Ensembl.
CUACAUCAACAGCCUUUCCCUCAUCUACCAGUCUGGUAACCCUGUCGUAGAAGGUAAUGAGGUUGGUCAAGCACGACCUGCCCUUUAUGAACCUGCGCUGGCUGGGCCUGAUCCCCUGGACACCACGCACAUGUGAUCCCUAGAUGAUUUGUUCCAUAGCUUUCCCCAAUACCGAGGUCAGGCUGAGAGACCUGUAGUUCCCCAGAUCCUCUUUAACAGCCCUUCUUGUAGGUGGGAAGUCACAUUGGCAAACUGUCAGUCCUCUGGGACCUUCUCAGAUUACCAGGAGUACUGGUAGAUGGUGGAGAGUGGGUCAGCAAUCACCCCUGCCAACAUCCUGGAAAAGAGAGUGCUGCGGGGAAUCUUCACUGUGGCCUUCCAGUACUUAAAGGGAGAUUAUAAACAGGAGGGGAAAAAACUUUUUACAUGGCUAGAUAGCGGUAGGAUAAGGGUGAAUGGUUUUAAACUAAAGGAAGGGAGACGUUAGCAAAACUUUUUGUGAGUAAGCUGCAUAGCAGAAAUUUGCACCCACAGCCUUCACAGAAAGGUAAAUCCGAGGUAAAAUACUGCAGAAAAAACGGUUAGGAAGGGAGUGAGCAGUCCCUGGCAUUCAGCAGCACUGACACAGUGUGGGCGGAGCCAGGGGUGACAUUGGCAAGCCCCCGUGCGUAUAAAACUUGACACUAGGCAAAUAGGGCGCGGUGUGGUAGAAGAGGCAGAUGGACCUCAACUGCUGCCAUCUCAGAGGAGCCCUCAUAACAAGAUGGAGGCCAGCGUGAAGUGUGUGGCAGAACGGGGGUGGACAGCAGGAGGCAGAGUGCCCCACCCAGGCUCCGUCUCACAAUGUGUCACGGUUCCGGGGUGGGUAGGCAGCUCUGUGAUGUCAACACAGUUGAACUCAGUUCUGAGUUCAGAGCGGUGGUCUCACCUCUGCUGUUGCGGUCACGACCGGCGUUUAGCAAUGGUUGUUGGCAGCUCUCUGUUUAUCCUUGUUACCCUUGUCCUUCUUUACGGCCUCAUGUUUUUGGUGGCCGGAAUCUUCUUGUUCACCGUGAACCAAAACAUACAGGCUGGCAGAGGACGCUUGCGGUGGAGGAGUUGGUGGCAGAGAGCAGUGGCACCAGAGCCAGGUGCUGAGAGACAGGCAGCCACCAAGCAGAGCAGCCUGCAGCGUGAACCAUUGUGCCCCUGCAGUAAGGCGGACCAGGAGCUUCAGCAGCUGGUCCUGUCAGGGCUGCCUGGCUGCAAGCCUGGCACAGCCAAAGUAGCGCUGCAAAAGGACGGCUGCGCUCAAACGGACAUCACAGGCCUGUGUGUAGCUGACACUAAACGUAUCAGAUGCCAGAGACACAGUGCAGUGGCUACCGUCAUCUCAAAACUGUGUCUCAGUCAGGCACGAUCCAGGAAGAUCUCCAUGCACACAGCCAGAAAAUGCCUGGAGAUAAAGCUUCGAUUCUUCCCUGUGGCAGUGCGGAAGUCCAUAGAACUGCUGCAACGUUUACAGCUAACACAGGGUGCCCCAGUCUACACACUCAAGAAGAAGUACCCCGUCGAUCUUGACCGGAUCAGGCGUGCGGCCAGGGCACCAGGAUCCCACCCAAUUCCCACAUACUUCUAUAGCCGGGAGGCUUUGUUCCUGUACAAGGAGGAGCGUGAGAAACUGGACCUGCACAUCUGCACCAGGAAGCUGGAGUGUCUGUGGUUCCGCCUCCCUUGUUAUCGUACAUGGCAUCCAUCAGAGUCCUCGGAGAAAGAGUCCACCUGCACAUAUGUGACUGCACCAUCUGAGGACUGGAUCAAGGAGGACUGUACUGAGGCAGGCCCUGAAAGACACAGGCGGUGGCCCUGGUGGAAGACAUGCCUGAGGGGACUCACCUCAAGAGGGCUCUGAGGAGGCACCCAUGCAGACUGCAGCAGCUCCCCACCUGCCAGUAUAACGUUGUGGGGGAAGAUGUAGCCAUGAACAAGUCAGCAAAGAGCUUAUGAGACUCUUUGGUACACCUUAUGGGUGUACCUGCGGGUGAUGAGGGGCAGGAGCGAGUCUGUGGUAACAGAUGUGGCAGGCUACCUAAAGCCUGCAGGCCAUGAAUUGGACAUGCCUGGCCCAGAGCAUCCCCAGAGCCCCCGGCCCAGAAUGGCUCAAAGCCUCUCCCUGUUUUGCAGGUUCUGAGAGACAGGCAGCCACCAAGCAGAGCAGCCCGCAGCGUGAACCAUUGUGCCCCUGCAGUAAGGCGGACCAGUAGCUUCAGCAGCUGGUCCUGUGAGGGACAUCCUGGCUGCAAGCCUGACACAGCCAAAGUAGCACUGCAAAAGGACAGCUGCGCUCAAACGGACAUCACAGGCCUGUGUGUAGCUCACAGUAACAUAUCAGUGCCAGAGCACAGUGCAGUGGCUACCGUCAUAUCAAAACUGUGUCUCAGUCAGGCACGAUCCAGGAAGAUCUCCAUGCACACAGCCAGGAAAUGCCUGGAGAUAAAGCUUCGAUUCUUCCUGUGGCAGUGCGGAAGUCCAUAGAACUGCUGCAACGUUUACAGCUAACAACUAGGUUGCCGGCGUGCCGGGUUCCAGUCUGACAUAUCAAGAAGAAUACC